GCUAGGCACGGUGACGCACCCCUGUAAUCCCAGUGGCUUGGGAGGCUGAGGCAGGAGGAUCACGAGUUCAAAGCCAGCCUCAGUCAAAGCAAAGCACUAAGCAACUCAAUGAGACCCUGUCUCUA
RNAcentral lists this small RNA (125 nucleotides) under Marmota monax (woodchuck). The record is from RNAcentral. Lineage: Eukaryota; Metazoa; Chordata; Mammalia; Rodentia; Sciuridae.